UUUGCCUACGGGGCGCAGCAGUGGGGGAUAUUGCACAAUGGGGGGAACCCUGAUGCAGCGACGCCGCGUGGGUGAAGAAGUAUUUCGGUAUGUAAAGCCCUAUCGGCAGGGAAGAAUUUAGACGGUACCUGACUAAGAAGCCCCGGCUAACUACGUGCCAGCAGCCGCGGUAAUACGUAGGGGGCAAGCGUUAUCCGGAUUUACUGGGUGUAAAGGGAGCGUAGACGGCAUGGCAAGUCAGAUGUGAAAGCCCGGGGCUCAACCCCGGGACUGCAUUUGAAACUGUCAGGCUGGAG
RNAcentral lists this ribosomal RNA (296 nucleotides) under uncultured bacterium. RNAcentral's name for it is "partial 16S ribosomal RNA". It matches the Rfam family "Bacterial small subunit ribosomal RNA", at positions 334 to 646 of the family's 1533-position model. The record is from RNAcentral.